Molecule: ribosomal RNA, 259 nt
Filed under: uncultured bacterium
Lineage: Bacteria
Description: partial 16S ribosomal RNA
Rfam family: Bacterial small subunit ribosomal RNA
Source: RNAcentral
CGUAGGUGGCAAGCGUUGUCCGGAAUUAUUGGGCGUAAAGCGCGCGCAGGCGGCCUUUUAAGUCUGAUGUGAAAGCCCACGGCUCAACCGUGGAGGGUCAUUGGAAACUGGAAGGCUUGAGUGCAGAAGAGGAGAGCGGAAUUCCACGUGUAGCGGUGAAAUGCGUAGAGAUGUGGAGGAACACCAGUGGCGAAGGCGGCUCUCUGGGUCUGUAAACUGACGCUGAGGCGCGAAAAGCGUGGGGGAGCGAAACAGGAUU